AACGAACGCUGGCGGCAUGCCUAACACAUGCAAGUCGAACGAGACCUUCGGGUCUAGUGGCGCACGGGUGCGUAACGCGUGGGAAUCUGCCCUUGGGUUCGGAAUAACACAGAGAAAUUUGUGCUAAUACCGGAUGAUGUCUUCGGACCAAAGAUUUAUCGCCCAGGGAUGAGCCCGCGUAAGAUUAGGUAGUUGGUGGGGUAAUGGCCUACCAAGCCGACGAUCUUUAGCUGGUCUGAGAGGAUGAUCAGCCACACUGGGACUGAGACACGGCCCAGACACCUACGGGAGGCAGCAGUGGGGAAUAUUGGACAAUGGGCGCAAGCCUGAUCCAGCAAUGCCGCGUGAGUGAUGAAGGCCUUAGGGUUGUAAAGCUCUUUUACCCGGGAUGAUAAUGACAGUACCGGGAGAAUAAGCUCCGGCUAACUACGUGCCAGCCGCCGCGGUAA
Molecule: ribosomal RNA, 449 nt
Filed under: uncultured bacterium
Lineage: Bacteria
Description: partial 16S ribosomal RNA
Rfam family: Bacterial small subunit ribosomal RNA
Source: RNAcentral